This is a small nucleolar RNA of Mola mola (ocean sunfish), 75 nucleotides long. Its record names the gene SNORD26. It matches the Rfam family "Small nucleolar RNA SNORD26". From Rfam's summary of the family: U26 is a member of the C/D class of snoRNA which contain the C (UGAUGA) and D (CUGA) box motifs. U26 is encoded within the U22 snoRNA host gene (UHG) in mammals and is thought to act as a 2'-O-ribose methylation guide for ribosomal RNA. The record is from Ensembl. NCBI's taxonomy places the organism in Eukaryota, Metazoa, Chordata, Actinopteri, Tetraodontiformes, Molidae.
GUGCAGUGAUGAAUCUCUGAACUCUCUCUUACUGAAUCACUUUUGAAGAAACUACUUUACCAGAUUCUGAGUACA